GGUAUAGACCCGAAACCCGGUGAUCUAGCCAUGGGCAGGUUGAAGGUUGGGUAACACUAACUGGAGGACCGAACCGACUAAUGUUGAAAAAUUAGCGGAUGACUUGUGGCUGGGGGUGAAAGGCCAAUCAAACCGGGAGAUAGCUGGUUCUCCCCGAAAGCUAUUUAGGUAGCGCCUCGUGAACUCAUCUUCGGGGGUAGAGCACUGUUUCGGCUAGGGGGUCAUCCCGACUUACCAACCCGAUGCAAACUACGAAUACCGAAGAAUGUUAUCACGGGAGACACACGGCGGGUGCUAACGUCCGUCGUGAAGAGGGAAACAACCCAGACCGCCAGCUAAGGUCCCAAAGUCAUGGUUAAGUGGGAAACGAUGUGGGAAGGCACAGACAGCCAGGAUGUUGGCUUAGAAGCAGCCAUCAUUUAAAGAAAGCGUAAUAGCUCACUGGUCGAGUCGGCCUGCGCGGAAGAUGUAACGGGGCUAAACCAUGCACCGAAGCUGCGGCAGCGACACUAUGUGUUGUUGGGUAGGGGAGCGUUCUGUAAGCCUGCGAAGGUGUGCUGUGAGGCAUGCUGGAGGUAUCAGAAGUGCGAAUGCUGACAUAAGUAACGAUAAAGCGGGUGAAAAGCCCGCUCGCCGGAAGACCAAGGGUUCCUGUCCAACGUUAAUCGGGGCAGGGUGAGUCGACCCCUAAGGCGAGGCCGAAAGGCGUAGUCGAUGGGAAACAGGUUAAUAUUCCUGUACUUGGUGUUACUGCGAAGGGGGGACGGAGAAGGCUAUGUUAGCCGGGCGACGGUUGUCCCGGUUUAAGCAUGUAGGCUGGUUAUCCAGGCAAAUCCGGAUAAUCAAGGCUGAGGUGUGAUGACGAGGCACUACGGUGCUGAAGUAACAAAUGCCCUGCUUCCAGGAAAAGCCUCUAAGCAUCAGGUAACAUCAAAUCGUACCCCAAACCGACACAGGUGGUCAGGUAGAGAA
This 972-nucleotide ribosomal RNA is filed under the name Klebsiella pneumoniae. RNAcentral describes it as "partial 23S ribosomal RNA". It matches the Rfam family "Bacterial large subunit ribosomal RNA", at positions 706 to 1678 of the family's 2925-position model. The record is from RNAcentral. Lineage: Bacteria; Pseudomonadati; Pseudomonadota; Gammaproteobacteria; Enterobacterales; Enterobacteriaceae.